RNAcentral lists this ribosomal RNA (215 nucleotides) under Stictidaceae sp. Its description in RNAcentral is "partial large subunit ribosomal RNA". The record is from RNAcentral. Lineage: Eukaryota; Fungi; Ascomycota; Lecanoromycetes; Ostropales; Stictidaceae.
AAGCGCUUGCAGCCAGACUUGGUCGUAGUCAAUCAACCUUCUCUUGGGGAGGUGCACUUUUCUGCGUUCCAGGCCAGCAUCGGUUUCCGCGGUCGGACAAAAGCCCCGGGAAUGUGGCUCCCCUCGGGGAGUGUUAUAGCCCGGGGUUCAAUGCGGCCUGCGGGGACCGAGGACCGCGCUUUAUGCUAGGAUGUUGGCGUAAUGGCUGUCAGCGG